CAGCUGGUCAUGAGCAGGCGAGGCCUUUAUAAAACCCAGGAGCUGGGGCCUGCAGGCAGGCUGUAAUCACUUCCUGGAGAGAGAAAGGUGUGCUCAGGACUAUAGAUGGCAGUCUAUGGUUACUCCCUGAGCAAAAGGUGUUGGAAGGCUGGCAAAAUACACAGAGGGGGAAGCUGGGUAGAUAGGAGAUGGCUCAGGGGAAUAACAGCAUAGUAUAGGAGAGUGCAAACCUUGGUUGGUGAUUAGAGGGCCUAUGGGCUGGAACCUGGAGUAGAGAGCAGGCCUGGGUUCCCCUACUAGCCACUGGGGAUGUGGCACAGACUAGGCAGAGGAUAGUGGACUGCCUAGAAUAAUUUGUCCUGGAAAGACUUUGAUGCAUCCUUUCUCCCCACCUCCAACAUAGGGACCUGGCUGGAGGGCUGAAUCACAAAGAGGAGGCUGUGGUUCCUGGAGUGAGAGGGGUCUAUAGGGCAAGAGGUUGAUGGAAUAGACCCUGCCAGAGGAGAGCGUGACACCUGAUCAGUACCAAGGGCAGGCAGGAGGCGGUGUUACUAGCAGGGAGUGGACCCCAUGCCUGUCCCUUAAAUGGUUUGGGUCCUUACUUAAGAAACCACUUUUCAUGACUUACUGCUGCAGUCAGUGGAAGAGCCUAGGCUGGAACCUGCUAGCUUUAAAAUAGAAGGUGCUGGUGUUAGUGUUCUCCAUUGGGGCCCUGGCUCUGGAAUCCCCUCCAAAUCCCAUCUGAAAUAGCCUUGGAAUCUAUUGACCUUCGGUGCAUGUGUUCACUUGAGUUGCUGCAGAGAGAUAUUUUUCAUAGGUUUCAAACAAUCAGGAAGGAUUUUCACUAAGGAUAAUGGCUGAAUCCUGGGGAUCUGAACCAAAACUCUUGAUCCAAACAAAGAGAGACAUGAAGCAGCUCAGGUGGGGGGUGCCUCCUGAUAGAGGGGACUGGACCUGUAUCCGAAGGAGACUCCAGAGGAGGAAGCACAACCAGAAGACAAGACUGGGUAAGAGGAGAGAGGGGGCAGAAGAAUCCUGAACUCCUUGGAAGGAUCCAAAAAACUCAGAGGAUGGAAGAGGAAACUUGUGCAGAGGUGUUCGGUUAUUCUUUCAUACAGCUGUAGACUUCUUGUGCUGUGUCUGAGUACAGUAUG
Long non-coding RNA from Dermochelys coriacea (leatherback sea turtle), 1154 nucleotides. RefSeq lists it as uncharacterized. The transcript has 3 exons. Lineage: Eukaryota; Metazoa; Chordata; Testudines; Dermochelyidae. The record is from RefSeq and is a predicted model, not a curated record.